Molecule: long non-coding RNA, 814 nt
Organism: Lycium ferocissimum
Lineage: Eukaryota; Viridiplantae; Streptophyta; Magnoliopsida; Solanales; Solanaceae
Exons: 3
Source: RefSeq, a predicted model, not a curated record
UGGGAUAGAGGGAGAAUCCAAAAAGAACAAUAUAUUUCUAUAUUUAGAAAUAAUUUAACUCAAAAUGAAGAAGUAUGUGGGAGAGAUGACCCUAGAUACGAGGAUAUUGAGGUCGAGUAUUAGAGUAGAAGGUUUGUAGUUAGUCGAGCGUCGUUUUAGUUUCCCCUUAUCAGUGUUGGUACUGUUACUCUCUUACUAUCUUAUUGUUCGAUUUUAUUGUUUCCUUUGCCUCGGUUUCUGUAUUACUAGCAUGGCUUUUCCACUACUGUAUUUCCUUUCCAUAUUUGAUUUAGAUAUGCUUUACUUGAGCUAAUGGUCUAUCUGAAACUACCUCUCUACCUUCACAAGAUAGGAGUAAGGCUGGGUACAGCGUCCUCCCAAGACGACCCCACUUGUGGGAUUACACUGGGUAUGUUGUUGUUGUUAAUGGUAAGGAAAUUAAAUGGUUGUUGUUCCAUGUUGGCUAAAAGUUUCUCAAAGUGUUUAUUUUUUUCAUAAGAGAAGUUUGUGAAUAGGACUCCGUGAGAGAACUGAAUUGCUUAUUGCUAUGAAGGUCACACAAAACUGAAUUUUGAAUUCUGUUUCUGCAAGAACAUGUAGUUGCAUUUUUUGGUACAUUAUGCCAAAAAUCUCCUCAACAUUGAUGGGAGAACUCCUCAACUCUGGUUUUGUGCUAUGAAGUAUUGGCUUAAUGGGGUUUAGCCGACAUCAACACUCGCUUGAUGUGAUGACUUUGCCAAUCUAUCUUGCCAGAGUUUUGUGAAGUUGUCUGUGAUGUAACAAUGAAAGACACAAUGUUAUCAUGCUUGAAAUU